AUUGAACGCUGGCGGAAUGCUUUACACAUGCAAGUCGAACGGCAGCACGGGGGCAACCCUGGUGGCGAGUGGCGAACGGGUGAGUAAUACAUCGGAACGUGCCCAGUCGUGGGGGAUAACGUAGCGAAAGCUACGCUAAUACCGCAUACGAUCUACGGAUGAAAGCGGGGGAUCGCAAGACCUCGCGCGAUUGGAGCGGCCGAUGGCAGAUUAGGUAGUUGGUGGGGUAAAGGCUCAUCAAGCCGACGAUCUGUAGCUGGUCUGAGAGGACGACCAGCCACACUGGGACUGAGACACGGCCCAGACUCCUACGGGAGGCAGCAGUGGGGAAUUUUGGACAAUGGGCGCAAGCCUGAUCCAGCCAUUCCGCGUGCAGGAUGAAGGCCUUCGGGUUGUAAACUGCUUUUGUACGGAACGAAACGGCCUUUCUAAUACAAGAGGCUAAUGACGGUACCGUAAGAAUAAGC
This 467-nucleotide ribosomal RNA is filed under the name uncultured bacterium. RNAcentral describes it as "bacterial SSU rRNA". It matches the Rfam family "Bacterial small subunit ribosomal RNA", at positions 30 to 491 of the family's 1533-position model. The record is from RNAcentral.